ACUGUGACUUUUUGGGGGCGGAACCAAAAGUGGCGAAGGUUGGUUCCGCCCGAAGAUGGUUUCCGCCCGGCCCGUAUAUUACAAACACCGGAACUUCCGGGAAACUCCGGGAGGCAAAUUGGGCUGUACGAGGCACAGGUGAGGACAAUAAACGCGGCGAUCGUGGAUUGGAUAAUGGAGAGAACAGGAAGGGUAUAAAAAGAGUCUCAGAAAUUCAAACAGGAGUUGGAGUUGAAUCGUUUCAGGCCGAUCCGGCGGGCAGUGUAGAGGUUUGGGCAGAGUCAGCAUUGGUGAAGGCAGAGGGACUUCACGGGGUGAAGAAGGAGACAAGGACACUAGCAACUGGGCUGAGUAUACAACAUUUUUUGAUGUUUGAUGAGACCAUCUAUAUAUAAACUACUGAUGUGUUGGAGUCACAGUCAUAGGAAGUACUCACCGGAAGUAACGUCAAGGGCGAUCUCCAGCAACGGAAAACCGAUGGUGUGAAGAGGAUUGGACAGCUAGAAGGAGAAGGAGACAAAGGAAGAGUGGAAUCGUUCAUUUGUGAGUACUAUUGGACAGUGCAUUGUACAUCAUUGGGGAGAGUGCAUUAUCCAGCGUAUGUUGUGAGCAUCUGGUAAAUAGGCCAGCGGCCCCAUUACGGAGCAGAGUUUUGGGUGAGCCGGGAAGUACGAGUACAGGAAGCCGCAAGCAGUCGUGACGGCAACGUUAUUCCUCCGGCCCUUCAUCUAUCAACAACGCCCAACGAAACCCCAGGAUAAGUCCUAGUAAACCGUGGUUCUGACCCUAUUUCACGUAGAGUGUGUGGAGUGCAGUGGGUGAGUCCUUGUCUUUGCUGUGAGUGUGUACACUUGAAAUCUUGCAGUGUUAUGCUGUGGUUGUGUUGUCAGUAGCCACCCUAGACUGGAUGAGUCGUGGGGGAGACCAGUGACCGUUGAGGCUGGUGAAGCGCCAUUUUCAUCUAAAUGCCAUUUUGCGACCCCUGCAUGGAGACCCAAAUGUAACGUCCUGUCUAGACCCUUUCAGAAUACCCUGGCUCUGUGGAAGCGGUGGUGAAGAAUACACGUAAGCAAGACUGGUGUGAGUAAAAGCCAAAAUUAUACCUAUAUGCAAGGAGGAAGUUUUACUGUUGCAAAUUAGCUGUGUGGAUUUACUUUACCUGUUGUGGAGCCUCUUCAAAGGUUCACCCCGGUCCAGAUCCCUUAAACUGCAAAUAGAAGAGAGGAGAGGGAAGCGUUCGGCCCGGUGCGACAGUGUUUAACUUUCCCCGACGCACAGGAAAUCCCUGUGGAGGACUGCGCUACGACGAUUUACUACUCCAGGUCUGACAGUUCAUCUACUUACUGUAUCGCAGUAUUUCACCGUAAGCCCACCGCCCAGGAGAAGUAUUCUAGGAGAAUAGAGCCCCAGUUGCCUGUGGAAUACCUACCUUUGCCCAUUGCUGCGAAUCACUAAAUGCCAUUGGAGUUCUGUGUCGCGGGUUGGCGCUCACCUCGGAGUGUGCAGAAGGGGAGGCGCCGCCCGAGCACCCUGUACGAAGAGAUCGGAGGAACAAGUCGUUUAUCAGCCAGUCGUAUGGACCCAAGUAACAGGUAGCCACUCUCACCGGAUCGAUUACUCAUUGUGUGUUUCACUCUGCCUUCAGGAGAAAAGAAGGGCGCCACGAGUCAACAAAAGCCCAAAGGGACAUACUAACCCUCGCCGCAUAGUCCUCUCCAGCCCCUUUCUCCUCCCGCUGAACAGAGAUGAUAAUUUUAAGAUUUACCUCCCCCUCCCUGAAUUAUUUUAAUUAAUUUAAAUAAAGUUGUUUUAAUAUCA
Molecule: long non-coding RNA, 1818 nt
Organism: Carassius gibelio (silver crucian carp)
Lineage: Eukaryota; Metazoa; Chordata; Actinopteri; Cypriniformes; Cyprinidae
Exons: 2
Source: RefSeq, a predicted model, not a curated record